Molecule: ribosomal RNA, 431 nt
Filed under: uncultured bacterium
Lineage: Bacteria
Description: partial 16S ribosomal RNA
Rfam family: Bacterial small subunit ribosomal RNA
Source: RNAcentral
AACGAACGCUGGCGGCAUGCCUAACACAUGCAAGUCGAACGAGACCUUCGGGUCUAGUGGCGCACGGGUGCGUAACGCGUGGGAACCUGCCCUUAGGUUCGGAAUAACUCCCCGAAAGGGGUGCUAAUACCGGAUAAUGUCUUCGGACCAAAGAUUUAUCGCCUUUGGAUGGGCCCGCGUUGGAUUAGCUAGUUGGUAGGGUAAAAGCCUACCAAGGCGACGAUCCAUAGCUGGUCUGAGAGGAUGAUCAGCCACACUGGGACGGAGACACGGCCCAGACUCCUACGGGGGGCGGAAGGGGGAAAUAUGGAACAAGGGGCGAAGGCCUAUCCCCGCAAUCCGGGGGGAGUGAUGAGGCCUUAGGGUUGGAAAGGCUCUUUUCCCGGGGUUGUUAAGGACGGCCCGGGGAAAAAAGCCCCCGCCACCCCCCG